RNAcentral lists this ribosomal RNA (441 nucleotides) under uncultured bacterium. Its description in RNAcentral is "bacterial SSU rRNA". It matches the Rfam family "Bacterial small subunit ribosomal RNA", at positions 28 to 501 of the family's 1533-position model. The record is from RNAcentral.
GGUGAACGCUAGCGGUGCGCCUAACACAUGCAAGUCGAGCGGUAGACUUUCUAGCUUGCUAGAAAGUUGAGAGCGGCGAACGGGUGAGUAACACGUUGGUAUCUGCCCCCAAGUCAGGGAUAGCCAUUGGAAACGAUGAUUAAUACCGGAUAGUCUCUUCGGAGUAAAAAUUUAUUGCUUGGGGAGGAACCUGCGGUCUAUCAGUUUGUUGGUGAGGUAAAAGCUCACCAAGACUAUGACGGAUACCUGGUCUGAGAGGAUGAUCAGGCACAAUGGAACUGAGACACGGUCCAUACUCCUACGGGAGGCAGCAGUGAGGAAUCUUCCACAAUGGACGAAAGUCUGAUGGAGCGACACCGCGUGAAGGAUGAAGGCCUAACGGUUGUAAACUUCUUUUCUGAAGGAGCAUAAUGAGAGUACUUCAGAAUAAGGACGGCUAAA